RNAcentral lists this non-coding RNA (112 nucleotides) under Chitinophagaceae bacterium. RNAcentral describes it as "TPP sequence". It matches the Rfam family "TPP riboswitch aptamer (THI element)". Rfam says of the family: Vitamin B(1) in its active form thiamin pyrophosphate (TPP) is an essential coenzyme that is synthesised by coupling of pyrimidine and thiazole moieties in bacteria. Lineage: Bacteria; Pseudomonadati; Bacteroidota; Chitinophagia; Chitinophagales; Chitinophagaceae. RNAcentral also lists the same sequence under 1 other name. The record is from RNAcentral.
ACAGUGUUCCCGGGGUGUUCCGUCUCUUGCCUAAAGCAAGACUGGGACUGAGAUUAUACCCGUUAAACCUGGUCAGGGUAAUGCCUGCGUAGGGAAGGAUAUCAUCAAUUGA